Molecule: ribosomal RNA, 344 nt
Filed under: uncultured bacterium
Lineage: Bacteria
Description: bacterial SSU rRNA
Rfam family: Bacterial small subunit ribosomal RNA
Source: RNAcentral
AGAGUUUGAUUCUGGCUCAGGACGAACGCUGGCGGCGUGCCUAACACAUGCAAGUCGAACGGGGUACCCAUGACGGAGAUUUCGGUCAACGGAUUGGACUACCUAGUGGCGGACGGGUGAGUAACGCGUGAGCAACCUGCCCUUCGGAGGGGGACAACAGCUGGAAACGGCUGCUAAUACCGCAUAACAUAUACUUGAGGCAUCUUGAGUAUAUCAAAGAUUUAUCGCCGAAGGAUGGGCUCGCGUCUGAUUAGCUAGUUGGUGGGGUAACGGCCCACCAAGGCGACGAUCAGUAGCCGGACUGAGAGGUUGAACGGCCACAUUGGGACUGAGAUACGGCCCAG